AGCUCCAAUAGCGUAUAUUAAAGUUGUUGCAGUUAAAAAGCUCGUAGUUGGAUUUCGGAAUGGGCCAGUUGGUCCGCCGCAAGGUGAGUUACUGACUGGUUUGUUCUUCUUCGCAAAGACUGCGUGUGCUCUUUACUGAGUGUACGUAGGAUUUACGACGUUUACUUUGAAAAAAUUAGAGUGUUCAAAGCAGGCUAUCGCUUGAAUACAUGAGCAUGGAAUAAUGGAAUAGGACUUUGGUCCUAUUUUGUUGGUUUCUAGGACCGAAGUAAUGAUUAAGAGGGACAAUUGGGGGCAUCCGUAUUUCGUUGUCAGAGGUGAAAUUCUUGGAUUUACGAAAGACGAACAACUGCGAAAGCACUUGCCAAGAGUGUUUUCAUUA
RNAcentral lists this ribosomal RNA (382 nucleotides) under Rathkea sp. RNAcentral describes it as "partial small subunit ribosomal RNA". It matches the Rfam family "Eukaryotic small subunit ribosomal RNA", at positions 587 to 975 of the family's 1831-position model. Lineage: Eukaryota; Metazoa; Cnidaria; Hydrozoa; Anthoathecata; Rathkeidae. The record is from RNAcentral.